RNAcentral lists this ribosomal RNA (943 nucleotides) under uncultured bacterium. Its description in RNAcentral is "bacterial SSU rRNA". It matches the Rfam family "Bacterial small subunit ribosomal RNA", at positions 1 to 913 of the family's 1533-position model. RNAcentral also lists the same sequence under 1 other name. The record is from RNAcentral.
UGGAUCCAGAACUUUGAUCCUGGCUCAGGACGAACGCUGGCGGCGUGCUUAACACAUGCAAGUCGUACGAGACGAUUGAAAGCUUGCUUUUGAAAGUCGAGUGGCAAACGGGUGAGUAACGCGUAGACAACCUGCCGUAAAGAUGGGGACAACAGUCCGAAAGGACUGCUAAUACCGAAUGUUGUGGAACUUCCGCAUGGGAGCUCCACUAAAGAUGGCCUCUACUUGUAAGCUAUCGCUUUACGAUGGGUCUGCGUCUGAUUAGCUAGUUGGUGGGGUAACGGCUUACCAAGGCGACGAUCAGUAGCCGGUCUGAGAGGAUGAACGGCCACAUUGGAACUGAGACACGGUCCAGACUCCUACGGGAGGCAGCAGUGGGGAAUCUUCCGCAAUGGGCGCAAGCCUGACGGAGCAACGCCGCGUGAGUGAAGAAGGGUUUCGACUCGUAAAGCUCUGUUGUCGGGGACGAACGUGGAGGUGGUGAAUAACCAUUUCCAAUGACGGUACCUGACGAGGAAGCCACGGCUAACUACGUGCCAGCAGCCGCGGUAAUACGUAGGUGGCGAGCGUUGUCCGGAAUUAUUGGGCGUAAAGGGAGCGCAGGCGGGAGAUCAAGUCUAUCUUAAAAGUGCGGGGCUCAACCCCGUGAGGGGAUGGAAACUGGUCUUCUUGAGUGCAGGAGAGGAAAGCGGAAUUCCUAGUGUAGCGGUGAAAUGCGUAGAUAUUAGGAGGAACACCAGUGGCGAAGGCGGCUUUCUGGACUGUAACUGACGCUGAGGCUCGAAAGCGUGGGGAGCGAACAGGAUUAGAUACCCUGGUAGUCCACGCCGUAAACGAUGAAUGCUAGGUGUAGGAGGUAUCGACCCCUCCUGUGCCGGAGUUAACGCAAUAAGCAUUCCGCCUGGGGAGUACGGCCGCAAGGCUGCAAACUCAAAGGAAUUGA